This 408-nucleotide ribosomal RNA is filed under the name uncultured bacterium. Its description in RNAcentral is "partial 16S ribosomal RNA". It matches the Rfam family "Bacterial small subunit ribosomal RNA", at positions 28 to 526 of the family's 1533-position model. The record is from RNAcentral.
GACGAACGCUGGCGGCGUGCUUAACACAUGCAAGUCGAACGAAGUGGCGAACGGGUGAGUAACGCGUAAUCAACCUGCCCUUCAGAGGGGGACAACAGUUGGAAACGACUGCUAAUACCGCAUACUGAAGGAGGGGAUUGCGUCUGAUUAGCUAGGUGGAGGGGUAACGGCCCACCAAGGGGAUGAUCAGUAGCCGGUCUGGGCGGGUGAACGGCCACAUUGGGACUGGGAAACGGCCCAAGAUCCUACGGGAGGCAGCAGUGGGGAAACUUCCGCAAUGGACGAAAGUCUGACGGAGCAACGCCGCGGGAGUGAUGACGGCCUUCGGGUUGUAAAGCUCUGUUAAUCGGGACGCGGUACCGGAAUAGAAAGCCACGGCUAACUACGUGCCAGCAGCCGCGGUAAGUC